This 460-nucleotide ribosomal RNA is filed under the name uncultured bacterium. Its description in RNAcentral is "partial 16S ribosomal RNA". It matches the Rfam family "Bacterial small subunit ribosomal RNA", at positions 338 to 795 of the family's 1533-position model. The record is from RNAcentral.
CCUACGGGGGGCAGCAGUGAGGAAUAUUGGUCAAUGGACGAGAGUCUGAACCAGCCAAGUCGCGUGAAGGAUGACUGCCCUAUGGGUUGUAAACUUCUUUUAUAUGGGAAUAAAACGUUCCACGUGUGGGAUUUUGUAUGUACCAUAUGACUAAGGAUCGGCUAACUCCGUGCCAGCAGCCGCGGUAAUACGGAGGAUCCGAGCGUUAUCCGGAUUUAUUGGGUUUAAAGGGAGCGUAGGUGGAUUGUUAAGUCAGUUGUGAAAGUUUGCGGCUCAACCGUAAAAUUGCAGUUGAAACUGGCAGUCUUGAGUACAGUAGAGGUGGGCGGAAUUCGUGGUGUAGCGGUGAAAUGCUUAGAUAUCACGAAGAACUCCGAUUGCGAAGGCAGUUCACUGGACUGCAACUGACACUGAGGCUCGAAAGUGUGGGUAUCAAACAGGAUUAGAUACCCCUGUAGUC